Molecule: ribosomal RNA, 504 nt
Filed under: Roseovarius nubinhibens
Lineage: Bacteria; Pseudomonadati; Pseudomonadota; Alphaproteobacteria; Rhodobacterales; Roseobacteraceae
Description: bacterial SSU rRNA
Rfam family: Bacterial small subunit ribosomal RNA
Source: RNAcentral
GAUCUAGCCAUGCCGCGUGAGUGAAGAAGGUCUUAGGAUCGUAAAGCUCUUUCGCCAGGGAUGAUAAUGACAGUACCUGGUAAAGAAACCCCGGCUAACUCCGUGCCAGCAGCCGCGGUAAUACGGAGGGGGUUAGCGUUGUUCGGAAUUACUGGGCGUAAAGCGCGCGUAGGCGGAUCAGAAAGUUGGGGGUGAAAUCCCAGGGCUCAACCCUGGAACUGCCUCCAAAACUCCUGGUCUUGAGUUCGAGAGAGGUGAGUGGAACUCCGAGUGUAGAGGUGAAAUUCGUAGAUAUUCGGAAGAACACCAGUGGCGAAGGCGGCUCACUGGCUCGAUACUGACGCUGAGGUGCGAAAGUGUGGGGAGCAAACAGGAUUAGAUACCCUGGUAGUCCACACCGUAAACGAUGAAUGCCAGUCGUCGGGUAGUAUACUAUUCGGUGACACACCUAACGGAUUAAGCAUUCCGCCUGGGGAGUACGGUCGCAAGAUUAAAACUCAAAUG